Drosophila arizonae is the source of this 179-nucleotide long non-coding RNA. The record is from RefSeq and is a predicted model, not a curated record. Lineage: Eukaryota; Metazoa; Arthropoda; Insecta; Diptera; Drosophilidae.
UCUUUGAAAGCUUUGCACGCAAAAGAAAAACAUUUGGCAUAGUUUAGACAAUAUUUACUAAUUGGGCUGAACAAAUUGAAUUUACGUUUGCACAGUUUACAAACUUAAGUAUUUCAAUAUUUAAGGCCAAAAAUAGCGACGACUAAUCAAAGCAAUCAAAAUGAAAUUCUUCAAUUUUC